RNAcentral lists this ribosomal RNA (486 nucleotides) under uncultured bacterium. Its description in RNAcentral is "partial 16S ribosomal RNA". It matches the Rfam family "Bacterial small subunit ribosomal RNA", at positions 28 to 507 of the family's 1533-position model. The record is from RNAcentral.
GAUGAACGCUAGCGGCAGGCUUAACACAUGCAAGUCGAGGGGCAGCGCGGGAUAGCAAUAUCCUGGCGGCGACCGGCGGAAGGGUGCGUAACGCGUGAGCGACAUGCCCGUUGCCCGGGGACAACCGGUGGAAACGCCGACUAAUCCCCGAUGGGAUAUUGUGCCGCAUGGCACGAUAUUGAAAGUUACGGCGGCGACGGAUUGGCUCGCGUCCGAUUAGCUUGUUGGCGGGGUAACGGCCCACUAAGGCUGCGAUCGGUAGGGGUUCUGAGAGGAAGGCCCCCCACAAUGGGACUGAGACACGGCCCAUACUCCUACGGGAGGCAGCAGUGAGGAAUAUUGGUCAAUGGGCGGAAGCCUGAACCAGCCAUGCCGCGUGCGGGAAGGAGGCCCUAUGGGCUGUGAACCGCUUUUGCCUGGGGGCAAUAAGGGCGUCGCGCACGUCCGAUGAGAGUACCAGGCGAAUAAGCAUCGGCUAACUCCGUG